GACCCCAGGUCAGGCGGGAUCACCCGCUGAAUUUAAGCAUAU
This 42-nucleotide ribosomal RNA is filed under the name Cannabis sativa. Its description in RNAcentral is "partial 28S ribosomal RNA". Lineage: Eukaryota; Viridiplantae; Streptophyta; Magnoliopsida; Rosales; Cannabaceae. The record is from RNAcentral.